RNAcentral lists this ribosomal RNA (455 nucleotides) under uncultured bacterium. Its description in RNAcentral is "bacterial SSU rRNA". It matches the Rfam family "Bacterial small subunit ribosomal RNA", at positions 340 to 786 of the family's 1533-position model. The record is from RNAcentral.
UACGGGAGGCAGCAGUGGGGAAUAUUGCACAAUGAGCGCAAGCCUGAUGCAGCCAUGCCGCGUGUAUGAAGAAGGCCUUCGGGUUGUAAAGUACUUUCAGUCGUGAGGAAGGUGUUAAGGUUAAUAACCUUAGCAAUUGACGUUAGCGACAGAAGAAGCACCGGCUAACUCCGUGCCAGCAGCCGCGGUAAUACGGAGGGUGCGAGCGUUAAUCGGAAUUACUGGGCGUAAAGGGCACGCAGGCGGUUAAUUAAGUUGGAUGUGAAAUCCCCGGGCUUAACCUGGGAAUGGCAUUCAAGACUGGUUAGCUAGAGUCUUGUAGAGGGGGUAGAAUUCCAUGUGUAGCGGUGAAAUGCGUAGAGAUGUGGAGGAAUACCGGUGGCGAAGGCGGCCCCUGGGACAAAGACUGACGCUCAUGUGCGAAAGCGUGGGGAGCAAACAGGGAUUAGGAUACC